This 253-nucleotide ribosomal RNA is filed under the name uncultured bacterium. RNAcentral's name for it is "partial 16S ribosomal RNA". It matches the Rfam family "Bacterial small subunit ribosomal RNA", at positions 524 to 776 of the family's 1533-position model. The record is from RNAcentral.
UACAGAGGUGGCAAGCGUUGUUCGGAAUUAUUGGGCGUAAAGGGCUCGUAGGCGGUCUGUCGCGUCGGGAGUGAAAACUCAGGGCUUAACCCUGAGCCUGCUUCCGAUACGGGCAGACUAGAGGUAUGCAGGGGAGAACGGAAUUCCUGGUGUAGCGGUGAAAUGCGCAGAUAUCAGGAGGAACACCGGUGGCGAAGGCGGUUCUCUGGGCAUUACCUGACGCUGAGGAGCGAAAGUGUGGGGAGCGAACAGG